UGAAUGCACUAACUGUAAGUCGCUCUGGAUUAGAGCGUCUGCUAAAUGACAAAUG
Molecule: non-coding RNA, 55 nt
Organism: Salmo salar (Atlantic salmon)
Lineage: Eukaryota; Metazoa; Chordata; Actinopteri; Salmoniformes; Salmonidae
Source: Rfam